AGUGAACGCUGGCGGUAGGCCUAACACAUGCAAGUCGAACGGCAGCACAGGAGAGCUUGCUCUCUGGGUGGCGAGCGGCGGACGGGUGAGGAAUACAUCGGAAUCUACUCUGUCGUGGGGGAUAACGUAGGGAAACUUACGCUAAUACCGCAUACGACCUACGGGUGAAAGCAGGGGACCUUCGGGCCUUGCGCGAUUGAAUGAGCCGAUGUCGGAUUAGCUCGUUGGCGGGGUAAAGGCCCACCAAGGCGACGAUCCGUAGCUGGUCUGAGAGGAUGAUCAGCAACACUGGAGCUGAGACACGGUCCAGGGUGCUCCGGGGGGAAGUAGAGGGGAAUAUUGGACAAUGGGCGCAAGCCUGAUCCAGCCAUACCGCGUGGGUGAAGAAGGCCUUCGGGUUGUAAAGCCCUUUUGUUGGGAAAGAAAUCCAGCUGGCUAAUACCCGGUUGGGAUGACGGUACCCAAAGAAUAAGCACCGGCUAACUUCGUGCCAGCCGCCGCCGUAA
RNAcentral lists this ribosomal RNA (506 nucleotides) under uncultured bacterium. RNAcentral describes it as "partial 16S ribosomal RNA". It matches the Rfam family "Bacterial small subunit ribosomal RNA", at positions 29 to 523 of the family's 1533-position model. The record is from RNAcentral.